This 1041-nucleotide long non-coding RNA is filed under the name Hordeum vulgare. RNAcentral's name for it is "long non-coding RNA (HVUL_LNC006729)". Lineage: Eukaryota; Viridiplantae; Streptophyta; Magnoliopsida; Poales; Poaceae. The record is from RNAcentral.
UGCCAAACAACAACAACAAAAAUUACGUCGCUAGUAUCAAGAUGGAUGCUCCGGUACAUGCUCAACUGAACUCUGAAGGAGUGGAUGCUGAUUAAUCACCGACCGACCUCUGGAGCAGCGUUUGGCGAGGGCGAGCUUGUGGUCGAGGUGGGCGCUGGUGACCGACGACAUCUUCGACGGAAACGGCUACUGCUCACUGGCUAAGUAGGUAUGGGAGGUGUGAUCGAGAGAGACGAGAUGGGCUGGCUGUUGCUUGAUUGAUUCCAAGGUUGUCCUGAAUUUAUAGGGGAACGAAAAGGUGGCGGCCACGCAUGGUUUUGGGCGCAAACCGUGGGUGCUCUGCUGAUCUGCUUUGCUCACUCGUUUUGCACUUGGACAGACACGAGUUUGUUGGCGGGGCAGAGCACCGCACGCUUUCCGAGAGCGGCAGGGUAGGCCGGUUCUCCAAAACUAUGGUAGGAAUCCACAGGAUUCAACGACGUUUGUUUGUUCCCUCGUCUUUAUAUUUUACCCACCAAAGUUAGCAAGAAAAAGGAGAUCUCGAUCGAUAUAAAGUUGGGCACGACAGUUGCUGAUCACAUCACAUGCCGUCGGUUUCACUCGUAAUCGUCGAGCGGCGCUCCCGCAAAACACUUUUUUACCGGUUCAGGAAUGUACCNNNNNNNNNNGAGGUCGCUUGUAUCAAGAUGGAUGCUCCGGUACACGCUUGGUUAAUCACCGACCGACCUCUGGAGCAGCGCUUGGCGAGGGCGAGCUUGUGGUCGAGGUGGGCACGGGUGACCGACGACAUCUUCUUCGCGCUUGAUCCUCGACGGAAACGGGGCUACUGCUCACUGGCCAAGUAGGUAUGGGAGGUGUGAUCGAGAGAGACGAGAUGGGCCGGCUGUUGCUUGAUUGAUUCCAAGGUUGCCCUGUAUUUAUAGGGAGCGAAAAGGUGGCGGCCACGCAUGGUUUUGGGCGCAAACCGUGGGUUCUCUGCAGUGCUCACUCGCUUGGACUUGGAGUGCUGAAAUGCGAGUUGGUGGGCGGGGCAGAGCACCG